Long non-coding RNA from Poeciliopsis prolifica (blackstripe livebearer), 624 nucleotides. RefSeq lists it as uncharacterized. NCBI's taxonomy places the organism in Eukaryota, Metazoa, Chordata, Actinopteri, Cyprinodontiformes, Poeciliidae. The transcript is spliced from 4 exons. The record is from RefSeq and is a predicted model, not a curated record.
UAUUGUGUCAGACUCAUCUCCCGCUGAAGAGGAUCCAGCGACAUCAAGAGAUUACGGAAAAUCACGCGAGAUAACUGUCUUGCACCUUGUUGGGUUUUUUCAAGGGCAGAGGGGAGAUUCCUGGCGUGCAUCUACUUAAUUUGAAGAAGAACAUCACCUGAUCACCUGUCUGUAAUCCACCUGCGAUGACACUGCUGAGGGCAGAUGAGAGUGCAUCCUCAAAGGUCUGUGUGUACCUAAAUGAAGAUCCAGAGAAGCUGGUGAGGGAGUACAUGGACGUCGAUGAAUGUGCAGAAAUGGCCAAAGCCGAGACUGUCCUCGGAUUCGUCAUUUGAGCAGAGGGUGCAGAGGCUGCCGAUGCACAUCUGGAUGUUGGGAUUGUCUUGGAGGAGGUGGAAGUUAUGAACAGCUUGGGCAGUGUAUCUUCUGCAAUAGUGAUGCUGCUGGGACUAAUCUACGCACUAAACUUGAGCUACCCUCAAGUUUACAUUUAUCGCCGCACCAUGUUAGGUACAUUCUGUGCGAAAAAAGUCUGCAGAGCCAUAUGUAGUGUACAAAGCUAAACUUGAGCUACCCUCAAGUUUAGUGCGUUCAGCACUCAACUUGCUCAGUAACUCAAGCAUA